UGUGGACAUAGCCUGCCAGGCUCCUCUGUCCAUGGGACACUCCAGGAAGAAUACUGGAGUGCGCUCCUGUGCCCUCGUGAUUCCACCUAGCUUCCUCCAAAGUAUACUGCUGUCCCAGACACACCCAAACAUACAGAGUAGGAUGUCUAGGCUGUGCAUCAGGUCCAUUUAAUUUCACUUAUUCUGAAUAGAUCUUCCUCUUCCAUUAUAAUGCCUUCUUUUCUCAUCCUUUCUCUCUCUUUCAUUAUUAUGAUCUUUCCCUUUCAGUGACACUUAUGGAGUCAUGAGUUACUCUCACUAAGCUAAAAAGAAAAAUUGAUUUUCAUUAGUAUGUCCUCUCAGUGUCAGGGAGUUAUCAUGUGAUCCUUAAACAUAGUUACCUUUUCCUCACAUUGGAUGUAUGUCUUAUUACACUGCUAUCAUAAAGGAUAAAGCCCAUAUUUAUCUUGCUCCACACUGCAUAGCCAGCAUGUAGCAAGAGUUCUUGGUUUAUGGUAAGUGCUCAAUAAACAUUUGUUGAAUAAAGUAAUUAAUUAAUUAAUCUUUUCCACAGACAUGCACACAGGCGGCCAGACAAAAAAAAUCGCAAACAUAAAAGUAUAAAGACAAAUACACAGACACACACACAUAUGUAUGUAUAAUGUUUUAACUGCCCCAUUUCUCUCUCUCAUAUUAUCUCUCAUCCUGAAACCUUGUCAACAUAAUUCAUCUCUUCUAGGAUAUUAAUUUACCUACACUCAGUGAGGGAUGAUAGCAUAACCCAAUGGAAUAUAUACCUUUCAACUAGAGUAGUUCGGGUAUAAAAUGCUUGAUUGUCAUUCUUAAGGUAGGCAUGUUUCUUCGUAUUAACUUUUAGACAUUUUUAUUUUUAUUUAGAUCAAAGUCAGAAAGUAGUGCCCAAACAAAUCGCAGCAGUAACUAAUAAUUCCUUCAGAAGGCAAUGGAUAUCACUGGGGGUCUCACUGAGAAAUGAAAAUUCAACCUUUUCUCCCCUGGUCACAGCUGAUGGAAAACAAUAAACCAAGAUGGACCAAUUUG
This is a non-coding RNA of Odocoileus virginianus texanus, 1038 nucleotides long. Lineage: Eukaryota; Metazoa; Chordata; Mammalia; Artiodactyla; Cervidae. The record is from RefSeq and is a predicted model, not a curated record.